CCUACGGGUGGCAGCAGUGGGGAAUAUUGGACAAUGGGGGGAACCCUGAUCCAGCCAUGCCGCGUGUGUGAAGAAGGCCCCCGGGUUGUAAAGCACUUUCAGUGAGGAAGAACGCCUGGUGGUUAAUACCCAUCAGGAAAGACAUCACUCACAGAAGAAGCACCGGCUAACUCCGUGCCAGCAGCCGCGGUAAUACGGAGGGUGCGAGCGUUAAUCGGAAUUACUGGGCGUAAAGCGCGCGUAGGUGGCUUGAUAAGCCGGUUGUGAAAGCCCCGGGCUCAACCUGGGAACGGCAUCCGGAACUGCAAAGCAUGAGUGAGGGGGAGGAGGGUAGAAUUCCCGGGGUAGCGGUGAAUUGGGUAGAGAUCGGGAGGAAUCCCAGUGGCGAAGGCGGCUUUCUGGAUUGAAACUGACACUGAGGUGCGAAAGCGUGGGUAGAAAAGAGGAUAGAUACCCUGGUAGUC
Molecule: ribosomal RNA, 464 nt
Filed under: Vreelandella stevensii
Lineage: Bacteria; Pseudomonadati; Pseudomonadota; Gammaproteobacteria; Oceanospirillales; Halomonadaceae
Description: partial 16S ribosomal RNA
Rfam family: Bacterial small subunit ribosomal RNA
Source: RNAcentral